UACGGAGGAUCCAAGCGUUAUCCGGAAUCAUUGGGUUUAAAGGGUCCGUAGGCGGUUUUAUAAGUCAGUGGUGAAAUCCGGCAGCUCAACUGUCGAACUGCCAUUGAUACUGUAGAACUUGAAUUAUUGUGAAGUAACUAGAAUAUGUAGUGUAGCGGUGAAAUGCUUAGAGAUUACAUGGAAUACCAAUUGCGAAGGCAGGUUACUAACAAUACAUUGACGCUGAUGGACGAAAGCGUGGGGAGCGAACAGG
This 253-nucleotide ribosomal RNA is filed under the name uncultured bacterium. RNAcentral describes it as "partial 16S ribosomal RNA". It matches the Rfam family "Bacterial small subunit ribosomal RNA", at positions 524 to 776 of the family's 1533-position model. The record is from RNAcentral.